RNAcentral lists this ribosomal RNA (253 nucleotides) under uncultured bacterium. Its description in RNAcentral is "partial 16S ribosomal RNA". It matches the Rfam family "Bacterial small subunit ribosomal RNA", at positions 524 to 776 of the family's 1533-position model. The record is from RNAcentral.
UACAGAGGGUGCGAGCGUUGUCCGGAAUCACUGGGCGUAAAGGGCGCGUAGGUGGCCCGACAAGUCUGUGGUGAAAGCUCGACGCUCAACGUCGAGUCGGCCAUAGAUACUGUUGGGCUGGAGCACUGUAGAGGCUCAUGGAAUUCCCGGUGUAGCGGUGAAAUGCGUAGAUAUCGCCUGGAACGCCGAAGGUGAAAACAGUCUGCUGGGGGUGUGCCGACGCUGAGACACGAAAGCCAGGGGAGCGAACGGG